AGAGUUUGAUCAUGGCUCAGAUUGAACGCUGGCGGCAGGCUUAACACAUGCAAGUCGAGCGGGGAAAGGUAGCUUGCUACCUUACCUAGCGGCGGACGGGUGAGUAAUGCUUAGGAAUCUGCCUAUUAGUGGGGGACAACAUUUCGAAAGGAAUGCUAAUACCGCAUACGCCCUACGGGGGAAAGCAGGGGACCUUCGGGCCUUGCGCUAAUAGAUGAGCCUAAGUCGGAUUAGCUAGUUGGUGGGGUAAAGGCCUACCAAGGCGACGAUCUGUAGCGGGUCUGAGAGGAUGAUCCGCCACACUGGGACUGAGACACGGCCCAGACUCCUACUGGAGGCAGCAGUGGGGAAUAUUGGACAAUGGGGGGAACCCUGAUCCAGCCAUGCCGCGUGUGUGAAGAAGGCCUUUUGGUUGUAAAGCACUUUAAGCGAGGAGGAGGCUACUUAGAUUAAUACUCUAGGAUAGUGGACGUUACUCGCAGAAUAAGCACCGGCUAACUCUGUGCCAGCAGCCGCGGUAAUACAGAGGGUGCAAGCGUUAAUCGGAUUUACUGGGCGUAAAGCGUGCGUAGGUGGCCAAUUAAGUCAAAUGUGAAAUCCCCGAGCUUAACUUGGGAAUUGCAUUCGAUACUGGUUGGCUAGAGUAUGGGAGAGGAUGGUAGAAUUCCAGGUGUAGCGGUGAAAUGCGUAGAGAUCUGGAGGAAUACCGAUGGCGAAGGCAGCCAUCUGGCCUAAUACUGACACCGAGGUACGAAAGCAUGGGGAGCAAACAGGAUUAGAUACCCUGGUAGUCC
Molecule: ribosomal RNA, 794 nt
Filed under: uncultured bacterium
Lineage: Bacteria
Description: bacterial SSU rRNA
Rfam family: Bacterial small subunit ribosomal RNA
Source: RNAcentral